GGUCUGAGAGGAUGAUCAGCCACACUUGGAACUGAGACACGGUCCAGACUCCUACGGGAGGCAGCAGUGGGGAAUAUUGCACAAUGGGGGAAACCCUGAUGCAGCCAUGCCGCGUGUGUGAAGAAGGCCUUCGGGUUGUAAAGCACUUUCAGCGAGGAGGAAAGGUCAGUAGCUAAUAUCUGCUGGCUGUGACGUUACUCGCAGAAGAAGCACCGGCUAACUCCGUGCCAGCAGCCGCGGUAAUACGGAGGGUGCAAGCGUUAAUCGGAAUUACUGGGCGUAAAGCGCACGCAGGCGGUUGGAUAAGUUAGAUGUGAAAGCCCCGGGCUCAACCUGGGAAUUGCAUUUAAAACU
Molecule: ribosomal RNA, 354 nt
Filed under: bacterium LimC-10-A-250A
Lineage: Bacteria
Also listed under: 1 other name
Description: bacterial SSU rRNA
Rfam family: Bacterial small subunit ribosomal RNA
Source: RNAcentral